AACGGAGCUGGCGGCGUAUCCCAAAGUGGCCGCAAGAAGUAUGUAACUUUCCGGUAAUCUGUAUAGAAUCCUAACAUACAUGCAGACACAAAUAUCAACAGUAGGAGAUAAAAGAAGUUGCGUGGAGUUCGUCUGGAAAUAGGACGAAGAGAUCGUGGUGCCAUGCCGUGAAGGAUAUUUCUUUUCUUUUUGAAAGUAUAGCCGGGUGGUGCUGCCAUCAAGCCUUGAUUAAAGAAACCGCGGAAUCCAUAACGGGACGUGGUGCCUAUACCCCAAUUUACAAAACGCAUAUCAAGAGAACUUCCUGAAAUUAAUACAACAUCGAGGUUUAGGAGGUUUAGGAGGGUCAAAAAUCAUAGCUCUAACAAUCUUGAUCUACCUGCAUAGAGAAAACGUUUUUAAAUCAUGAUGAUAAACAAUGUACCUCACUUUUGCACAAAUUGUAAUACUACCUGGUUUGCUUUAUCAUAACUUAAAGUGACUGAAAGUGAGAUUCUUGAAAACCCACCAUGUCAUCUGAUAAAGGGGAAUUGAAAAGCCCUCUGGCAAAUAUUCAAAUACAUCGAUCAUAUGUUUUACACCCAACAAAUCGAUCAAGAAAAACCAUGUCUAUCAUAGUUUGUUUGCUCACACCAUAAGACAUCAGUUCUAGAGCCUAUCUAGCAUUUUAUGAAACAGCAACCAAAUCUCUCUUAGAUAAUUCAGGGUCUAAUAUGCAUUCAGAAAUUCAAAUCCUAAAUUAAGAAAUCAAAGAGGACAAUGAAACCAAUAAGACAGAGAUAUAUACCUCUAGUGUCCGCAGGUACAAGAGAGCAAAGGAGGACGGCAAAGCCUAAAAUGGCAGAAAUUCUUGAGUUUGAGACUGAGCAGUCACCGUCUUAAUUAUAAAGAUCAACAAAGUGGAUAUGGACAAAAUUUGGUAGCUUUGUAAUAAACGCCGGUGCGGCGAUUCUCAAGUCUUAGUGUUUAUGUAGAUUUUGUUAAGUGUAUGACUUGUGUUGGGCUUAAUUAAAUAAAGCCUAACUAAACUUGUAGUUAGAGAUUUUAUAAAUUUGCUGGCCGAAUUUAAAAAGUUUGCUGGGUGUGCUUAUACUAAUUUUAAAAUGGAAUUGAAAUAGUCCUGUAACUGCUGUUUAUAGCUAAUAUUAAGAUUCAAGUUGUUAAUUAAGUCGGUGAAUUGAACGAUUCAUACCUAUAACAAUGCCUAAAGUUAAUGAAGCCUCUGAUAUAUGCAUGUCUCAUAAAGAGAGUAGGAAAACCAAGUACAAUCUUACGCCAUAGCAAAAGUGAUAAUAUAUUUGGCUAAUCGCAUCACACAAAUGUGCUUCUUAACUUGUAUGAAAAAUAUAUAUGAUUACAAUCAUAGAAUCAUAGCUAUGAAUUGAGUUAUAUGAUCCAAAUAAAAACUUACCAAGACAGUGUGGACUAAACCAAAUAGGUCGGAAAUGUGGAGUGUCUCAAGGGUUCUGACUUUUGUGCCGCCCUAGAUUAUUAACAAAUCUUGGCCGCCUGAAUUUCUAGUGCACUACUUUGUUAUUUGGAACCAAGCAAAUUAGGCAUCAGGUUGGUCAGCUUUUUGAUGCAUAAAUCCAUUCAGUAGUCCAUUCUAUAAACUGGUGGUCUUGGUCUUGGUCUUGGACUAUGCUUCGAUUCAUUUAUAAUAGGAGCAUGCGUGUCCCUGUGAUUGACUUUGAAAGUUGUGGCGACUACACCGACCCGGAGUACACGUACAUUUCAAUCACAGUCAAGUGUUACGAACGAUUUAAGCCAUGCUUUCAAAAGAUGCGAGUUGAAAGAAAACGCUACCCUGAUAUAAAUCAAUGAGCAAACAUGUCACGUGACACGACUAACUCACGUAUUAUUGUUAAGUUUGCGUAUAUUUUUAAAUAGAUGCAUACUGCUAAAUGGAGACGUAACUACAAGUUGAUUAGUUUUGACAGUUAAUUGAAAGAGUCGAACAUGUCACGUGACACGACUAACUCACGUAUUACAUAUUGUUAAGUUUGUGUACAUUUUCAAAUGGAUGCAUACUACUAAAUGGAGACGUAACUACAAGUUGAUUAGUUUUAACAGUUAAUUGAAAAAGUC
This 2088-nucleotide long non-coding RNA is filed under the name Fragaria vesca (wild strawberry). RNAcentral's name for it is "long non-coding RNA (FVES_LNC000063)". The record is from RNAcentral. Lineage: Eukaryota; Viridiplantae; Streptophyta; Magnoliopsida; Rosales; Rosaceae.